This 422-nucleotide long non-coding RNA is filed under the name Ornithorhynchus anatinus (platypus). Its description in RNAcentral is "lncRNA (ENSOANG00000049238.1)". The record is from RNAcentral. Lineage: Eukaryota; Metazoa; Chordata; Mammalia; Monotremata; Ornithorhynchidae.
CACCAGGUUACAAACUUAACCAGAAGGGCUGACAAGAGGUGAGGUUAGUAUAGCUAGGAUUCUCUCAGUUGAAACUAGGUUUACUUUGUCCUAUCAUUCCUGAAUUUAUGCAAAUCCAAACUGAGAAAACACUUUCAAGUAAUCAGCUUUUAGAAGAUAGAAUUUUUAAUCUCUACAGAAAAGAUCUCACAGAAGACUCUAGAACAUAUUUGGGUGGUGGGCCCAGGGAUUCAGAUCUGGCAAAUAUUCCCUUGACUGUCAUUCCAGGGAAGGAGACUUGAGAUCAGAGGAAGCUAGAGGAUUUUACUACAUAAUGAAUUGCAUUUAAGAUUGAUGGAGAGUUUUAUGGGUGGCAACAUAUACAUCUGGACCGCAGGAGUCUGGCUUCCUAAGUAAUAGAGACAGGAAGAGAACAUUUCACG